UCUUUAUGAGAGGCUGAGCCAUUGCUAAACGGAAUCAAUCUUUAAGAUCUGCUAAGUAUUUUAUUGUUAUUUACAGAUACCCGCUCUCUUCCUCUCCCUCUCUGUGUGCGAAGUCCCCGUCCCUCUCCCUCUAUAACGCAGCAGUGCAGUGGAAUUUCGAAGACGAGGCGAGGGAUUCUAUAUUCUCCUCUGUUUUUUUUUUUUUUUAACUAAU
This 214-nucleotide unclassified non-coding RNA is filed under the name Hevea brasiliensis (rubber tree). Lineage: Eukaryota; Viridiplantae; Streptophyta; Magnoliopsida; Malpighiales; Euphorbiaceae. The record is from RNAcentral.